GCCUGGAUGGCUCAGUCUGCUGGGCAUCUGGCUUCGACUCAGGUUAUGAUCUCGCAGUUUGUGGGUUCAAGCCCCAUGUCAGGCU
This 85-nucleotide transfer RNA is filed under the name Felis catus (domestic cat). It matches the Rfam family "tRNA". Rfam says of the family: Transfer RNA (tRNA) molecules are approximately 80 nucleotides in length. Their secondary structure includes four short double-helical elements and three loops (D, anti-codon, and T loops). Further hydrogen bonds mediate the characteristic L-shaped molecular structure. tRNAs have two regions of fundamental functional importance: the anti-codon, which is responsible for specific mRNA codon recognition, and the 3' end, to which the tRNAs corresponding amino acid is attached (by aminoacyl-tRNA synthetases). tRNAs cope with the degeneracy of the genetic code in two manners: having more than one tRNA (with a specific anti-codon) for a particular amino acid; and 'wobble' base-pairing, i.e. permitting non-standard base-pairing at the 3rd anti-codon position. The record is from Rfam by way of RNAcentral. Lineage: Eukaryota; Metazoa; Chordata; Mammalia; Carnivora; Felidae.